GUUUGCAAAUGGGAUUUUUCUCGUUUUGAUGUUCUAGGUUACGGUACAGCAGGUCUGAAGUCGCAGGUCCGGCUACUCUCAAAUAAUACCGAGGUUUUAAUCUCGCUCUACAUGACCUAUGGGACGUACACGCUUUUAAUUUAGGACAGUGUCAUUUUUGCUUAUUUCACGAUUGAGGUUACUCCACUGAAACACCAGUUUGGGGCCUGUUUCUCACUCUCAGCUGCUCUCUCACCACCCUCCCACUUGGGCCCAGCUGCCUCACCAGAGGUUACUGCUCCAGGUAAUUUGCUGGGCUGCCUCUCUGAUCUGCUGCCUCUACAGCUGUCUGGACUUCGCAAAGGCCUCAGAAAAAUCAUGCCUCAGAAUAACUACUCCAUCAAAAUGGAACCAUGUCUGGAAAGAUGGUUGAAUGCGUUAACAUUUUAUUUCGAAAAGUAACAUGGAUGAGAAGUUCCACUGGCAACAAAAUAUUAUGUAUUAGUAUUUAAGGCAUGAUGAUGAUGUAACUGUCACUUUCCUUUUCUCCUGUCCUUCUCUCAAACUUGGCCUGACCUGACCUGGGAUUAAACAAUCAGAAGUGUUGUCACUGUAACAUGUUUCUUGUGCUCAAAGAUCACGAGCAGGCCUACCUCAGCACACAGCAGAAAUGGUUGGAGUGGCAGAAGGUACACAUGUGAUCUUAACCGAUGCAUUUAUACCCAUCACCUGCCUGUAGCACACAUGGUUACACAUUAGUGAGAUUAUAAAGUUUUCCAUUCUUUUAUAUUUUUUCACUUCCCUACUCUGUUUACCUAGGCAGCAGGAGUCAUCCCAACACUUGUUAGGUGGGAAAAGAUACAGAAUGUAAUACACCUCCUUGUCCCUCAGGAAAGACCUUUGGUAAAUUUGGAAUGAGCAUCUAAUUCUCUCCAGGAUGCUCUGAAUGUAAAUUUGGAAAGAGGAAUUUCUCCAAAUAAUUAUAGUUUAAGUGCCGAAUUCCAAAUAUAUUUAUUUUCUUUGCUUUUUUGUUGGCGUGUGUUGCACACAUGCUGGAAGAGAUUUCUUUUUUGUGGUUGCUAUGGUAAAAAGCAGUUCCCAGUCCUUUUACUUAAAAUCCAUGAACUGCAAUUAACUGUUUAAUGUUGUAACAGACAACAGCUCUAGUAACACCUUAACAGCUUUGAGCAUGAUACUCCCAUCAUCUCAGCAGAUGGUGAUUUUUGGCAUUCUGUGUUUUCAGCUUAUUCUUUUCCUUUAUAAUCCUUGCCAUUAUAUCUUCUGACAAAUGCUUCUGGACUAACUUAAUUGCAAUUUGAUUAUACUGAGACAGCCCUCAGAUCUCAGAUCUUUUUGUAUUUCUUUUAAAGGUGACCAAUAUAUUAAAAAAAAAAAAAAAAAAAAGUGUAUCCCCAGCAACAAUUAUAAAACCAGUUUUUAAAGUAAGACUCUGUUUCUUCUCAUCUGUAACCAUAAAAAUAAUCUUGAAAGAUGCUUAGUCUGCCUUAGGAACCCUUCAUCUGAACAGAAAAGGAGAAAUAAAUUAUUCUUUUGUGAAGAAGGAGUAACUCAAUGUUUGUCAAGAGUCUGAACUAAAUAAGUUACCAAUUUCAACUAGUUUUA
Long non-coding RNA from Hirundo rustica (Barn swallow), 1602 nucleotides. RefSeq lists it as uncharacterized. The transcript is spliced from 3 exons. Lineage: Eukaryota; Metazoa; Chordata; Aves; Passeriformes; Hirundinidae. The record is from RefSeq and is a predicted model, not a curated record.